UUGGUCUAUCGACGUACAAAGCACAGGCGGCUAUGUCGCCUCCGUAGAAUUUUCUGUAACGGAUUAAGUUUUCAUUUAUGUGUUCCUUAAAUCCUUGCAUUCACGUAAUUUAUUCCAAUCGUCCAAUUCUCUAGCAUUUAAUCGAGCUCAUCAUCUUCCAAUGUAACCGACUAACCGGCGGAAGCUCUACCAUAAAGUUUGGUGCUUCCAACGAUGAACAGCACCACCUCUACGAAGUUGAAAAGAAUAUUCUCUGCAAUUUACCAGCUCCAACAAUGGUGAAUCUACAUCCAUUGAUUAUAGGAAUUCUUCAGGUUUAGGGGUGAUACUUGAUGAUUGUAACUUUCAUGACUGUUCGUCUUGAUAGCUUCGAUUCAGAUAGAACUUUGUCCCUGGUGAGUUCAAAAACCUUACCUCAGCUAAGAUAAAAGUUUUUUUUGUUGCUUACUAUUACCUCAUUUGACUCUCUACUUUCGAGGUGGAGUCAUUACGUGUUGUGUGUGGAGAAGCAGGUACUCUUAUGGCUCAAAAGGUACCCUCGAUGAUUGUAAAGGAAAAGCCUUCGACCCCUCCUGAUCCUACCGAGAGUCGAUCACUUUCGUUGAUGUCUUAUUUAUGCAUUACCGCUCUACGGUGACCAUACCACAAAAAAAUAAAAACAAUAAGCCUACGGAAGCGUCUCCAGUUCUUAUUACCGGCCUCCCGUCUACUGAUAUAGGACGGUACCGUACUGCUCUCGACUCUCUUAGUUUGUGUUUACGGUCUUCUUUCAUGAUUUUGAUCUUUGGUUACAAACUCUAGCUCGAGCGUCUUAGAGAGCAUUAGAAAGAAGGAACAUAUGAAAUUUCCUUGUGUUUACGUUUAUUGGUUGUUUAGUUUUCAUGAGAGAUGCUUGACUCCUCUAUUUUUUUGGGUAAAUUUUGAGGAAACUGUGAGACGGAUAUUUGGUUGUGCUUAAAUUAUCUUAUGGUGUUGUUUAUUUGA
Molecule: long non-coding RNA, 984 nt
Organism: Brassica napus (rape)
Lineage: Eukaryota; Viridiplantae; Streptophyta; Magnoliopsida; Brassicales; Brassicaceae
Exons: 3
Source: RefSeq, a predicted model, not a curated record